GACUUGAUAGCUCAGUUGGUAGAGCAUUGCACCGGUAUAGCAGAGCUAAUGGGUUCGAAUGUCGUUCAAGCCU
This is a non-coding RNA of Desmophyllum pertusum, 73 nucleotides long. The record is from the annotation of a GenBank genome assembly. NCBI's taxonomy places the organism in Eukaryota, Metazoa, Cnidaria, Anthozoa, Scleractinia, Caryophylliidae.